RNAcentral lists this long non-coding RNA (820 nucleotides) under Rosa chinensis. RNAcentral describes it as "sRNA RchiOBHm_Chr4g0401021". The record is from RNAcentral. Lineage: Eukaryota; Viridiplantae; Streptophyta; Magnoliopsida; Rosales; Rosaceae.
CUGGGUUGCAUUUGGUAUGGAAAUUCAUCCUCUCGCCUUUAUCUACACGUUAGAUUAAUUAGUCUUUGAAAUUGAGGGAGUUUUGUUGAGAUUUGGGUUCUGGGUUAGCUCGGGUUCGACGCUAUUGCUUACGUUCUCGGUUCGUUCCUGCUCGGUUUCUGGUUCGACUGCUCCCGUAGACAAGGCCUUACUUCGAUUGAGAGCUAAAGUCUGAAAGUGUCUUGGUGGGUGUUGUGAAUCCUCAGUUCAUCGUCUGUUGGGUUUCCGGUUCCGAGAUCAAAACAAGAAACUUUGAAUUGGGGACAUUGAGGCUUGGAUUGCCCGUCUAUCAUCGAGUUUUUGGAAGACUGCCGCAAGGGAGCUAAGGUUCACCUUGCAGAUUGUAGUACCGAAGGUAAACCCGAGUUUCUAGAUGGAAAUGUUUAUGUUUGUUUGGCUCGAGAGAUUGAUUAAAUUGUUGAAAUGGAUGACUGGUGAUGUAUGAGUUAAUUGUAUUGAGUUGUUAGGGGAUGGAAUUGUGGCUAUGGUUAAUUAAGAAGUGAAAGUACCGAAGUUACGAGUUGGUGGUGAAGUGGGAAAAGUUUAAGUAUUGUGAAAUACUAUGAAAUGGUCUUGGUGAUAUGGGUGUCUAUAGUAAUUCUAUCGGAUUACUAUACUAUACGACGAAACUUGAAAUAGAAGUAGAGUUGGGUGUGGAACGAAUUGAGAUCGUUUGUUAACGAAAUUGGGGAAUUUGAGAUAAUUUUCUCUAUUGCUUGUGUAUAUGUUGAAAGUCAUAGUAAGUCAAGAAAAUGACUUAAUAUAUUGGGUGCUCACGUAG